Molecule: non-coding RNA, 105 nt
Organism: Aspergillus indologenus CBS 114.80
Lineage: Eukaryota; Fungi; Ascomycota; Eurotiomycetes; Eurotiales; Aspergillaceae
Source: the annotation of a GenBank genome assembly
GGUAAGGUGGCCGAGUGGUUAAGGCGUUGGCCUUAAGAAAUGUUGCUUAACACCUUAAGAAACCCAAUGACGAGAGUCUCCAGGGUUCGAACCCCUGUCUUACCA